This 85-nucleotide transfer RNA is filed under the name Felis catus (domestic cat). It matches the Rfam family "tRNA". Rfam says of the family: Transfer RNA (tRNA) molecules are approximately 80 nucleotides in length. Their secondary structure includes four short double-helical elements and three loops (D, anti-codon, and T loops). Lineage: Eukaryota; Metazoa; Chordata; Mammalia; Carnivora; Felidae. RNAcentral also lists the same sequence under 3 other names. The record is from Rfam by way of RNAcentral.
ACCUGGGUGGCUCAGUCGGUUAAGCAUCUGACUUUGGCUCAGGUCAUGAUCUCACAGUUUGUGAGUUCAAGCCCCACAUCAGGCU